GCUGGGCUCAGUGGCAGAGUGCUUGCCUAGCAUGUGUGAGGCACUGGGUUCAAUCCUCAGCAUCA
This 65-nucleotide transfer RNA is filed under the name Marmota monax (woodchuck). RNAcentral's name for it is "tRNA.Ala". The record is from RNAcentral. Lineage: Eukaryota; Metazoa; Chordata; Mammalia; Rodentia; Sciuridae.